GGAUUAGAUACCCUGGUAGUCCACGCCGUAAACGAUGUCAACUAGUUGUUGGUCUUAUUAAAAAGAUUAGUGACGCAGCUAACGCGUUAAGUUGACCGCCUGGGGAGUACGGUCGCAAGACUAAAACUCAAAUGAAUUGACGGGGGCCCGCACAAGCGGUGGAGCAUGUGGUUUAAUUCGAUGCAACGCGAAGAACCUUACCAGGUCUUGACAUCCAGAGAAUCUUUUAGAGAUAGAAGAGUGCCUUCGGGAAUUCUGAGACAGGUGCUGCAUGGCUGUCGUCAGCUCGUGCUG
This 294-nucleotide ribosomal RNA is filed under the name uncultured bacterium. RNAcentral describes it as "partial 16S ribosomal RNA". It matches the Rfam family "Bacterial small subunit ribosomal RNA", at positions 775 to 1067 of the family's 1533-position model. The record is from RNAcentral.